This 473-nucleotide ribosomal RNA is filed under the name uncultured bacterium. Its description in RNAcentral is "partial 16S ribosomal RNA". It matches the Rfam family "Bacterial small subunit ribosomal RNA", at positions 28 to 507 of the family's 1533-position model. The record is from RNAcentral.
GGUGAACGCUGGCGGCGUGCCUAAGACAUGCAAGUCGAGCGGGCCGCGGGGUUUUACUCCGUGGUCAGCGUCGGACGGGUGAGUAACGCGUGGGUGACCUACCCGGAAGAGGGGGACAACCCGGGGAAACUCGGGCUAAUCCCCCAUGUGGACCCGCCCCUUGCGGUGUGUCCAAAGGGCUUUGCCCGCUUCCGGCGGGGCCGGCGUCCCAUCAGGUAGUUGGUUGGGUAAUUGCCCACCAAGGCGACGACCGGGAGCCGGACUGAGAGGGUGGCCGGUGAGAGGCGGACCGGGCCACGGGCGGAAGUACUACGGGAGGAAGCAGUGAGGAAGGUGACGGAAUGGCGGAAAGCCGGAGGGAGCGACGCCGAGGGGAGGAAGAAGUACUUCGGGGUGAAAACGCAUGAACCCGGGACGAAACCACCGACGAGGUGACGGACGGUACCGGGGUAAUAGCGCCGGCCAACUCCGUG